RNAcentral lists this transfer RNA (76 nucleotides) under Nocardia amikacinitolerans. RNAcentral describes it as "tRNA-Trp". It matches the Rfam family "tRNA". Rfam says of the family: Transfer RNA (tRNA) molecules are approximately 80 nucleotides in length. The record is from RNAcentral. RNAcentral also lists the same sequence under 1 other name. Lineage: Bacteria; Bacillati; Actinomycetota; Actinomycetes; Mycobacteriales; Nocardiaceae.
GCGGGGGUAGCUCAACUGGUAGAGCACCGGUCUCCAAAACCGAAGGUCGGGGGUUCGACUCCCUCCCUCCGCGCCG